This 460-nucleotide ribosomal RNA is filed under the name uncultured bacterium. RNAcentral's name for it is "partial 16S ribosomal RNA". It matches the Rfam family "Bacterial small subunit ribosomal RNA", at positions 338 to 795 of the family's 1533-position model. The record is from RNAcentral.
ACUACGGGUGGCUGCAGUGAGGAAUAUUGGUCAAUGGACGAGAGUCUGAACCAGCCAAGUAGCGUGAAGGAUGACUGCCCUAUGGGUUGUAAACUUCUUUUAUAUGGGAAUAAAAUGUUCCACGUGUGGGAUUUUGUAUGUACCAUAUGAAUAAGAAUCGGCUAACUCCGUGCCAGCAGCCGCGGUAAUACGGAGGAUCCGAGCGUUCACCGGAUUUAUUGGGUUUAAAGGGACCGUAGGUGGAUUGUUAAGUCAGUUGUGAAAGUUUGCGGCGCAACCGUAAAAUUGCAGUUGAACAUGGCAGUCUUUAGUAAAGUAGAGGUGGGCGGAAGUCGUGGUGUAGCGGUGAAAUGCGUAGAUAUCACGAAGAACUCCGAUUGCGAAGGCAGUUCACUGGACUUCAACUGACACUGAGGCUCGAAAGUGUGGGUAUCAAACAGGAUUAGAUACCCCAGUAGUC